RNA transcript from Pyrus x bretschneideri (Chinese white pear), 4136 nucleotides. It is a transcript of the gene named PWWP domain-containing protein 1, with no coding region annotated. Lineage: Eukaryota; Viridiplantae; Streptophyta; Magnoliopsida; Rosales; Rosaceae. The transcript is spliced from 3 exons. The record is from RefSeq and is a predicted model, not a curated record.
CAAACUAUUAUUAUUUCAUUUCUCCAAACCCUGAUAAAAUCACAAUUUUCCCCUAAAUGUUCUUACCAUCCAAACACCCUCUCCCUCUCUCUCUAGGGUUUUAUCUGUAUCGCUCAAAAUCCCCCACUUUCUCGCGUUUUCCCGGAAAAUUUCGCACUUUCAAAUCCUCAUCAUGAGGUGUUAGAAAGCUAUGCCGCCUCAUUGGGACCCGCCUACUGUGUUCGUCUAGAGCUGCUGAAGGAUUUGAAUUGCAGCCGGUUCGAAGAUCUCUGUGAUGAACAACGAAAUCGGAUUGGACGGGAAAUCGGAUGCCACUGAAGAGGCCGCGGAAGCUAGAGCUAGGGUUUCGCCAAUGGAGCUCGAUUCGGGGAGUGAGGCUGGCGGAAGAUCUGAGGAGGAUGGGGCUAGGGUUAGUACGGAGAGUGAAGGUGGAAAUGUGGAUAAAGUGAUGGAAUCGAAGGGUUCUGGAAUUCAGGCGGAUAGAACUAGGGUGGAGAUUUCAUUCAAUGAUGAUGAAGAAGAUGUUUUCGACAUUUCGCGGGUCGAAAUUGAGGACGAUUCUGAUAAAUCUGAGGCUCACAAUGGUGAGCACCCGUCUUUGUUGUCUGAGUUUGAUGAGUUUGUAGCUAACGAGAAGAGUGGAAUGGCUCUCGGGACGAAGAGGGCGCUGAGCUACGGGUUCGACGUGGGUGACAUGGUGUGGGGGAAGGUAAAAUCUCAUCCGUGGUGGCCGGGACACAUAUUUAACGAGGCGUUGGCAACGUCUCAGGUGCGGCGGACACGGAGGGAAGGUCAUGUCUUGGUUGCUUUCUUUGGUGAUAAUAGUUACGGAUGGUUCGACCCGGCUGAACUCAUACCAUUUGAUCCCCACUACACUGAGAAAUCUCGGCAGACGAAUCACAGGGGUUUUCUGAAGGCUGUGGAGGAGGCUGUCGAUGAGGCGAAUCGUAGGUGUGAACUUGGUCUGGUUUGCAAAUGUAGGAAUGCCUAUAAUUUUCGGAAGACAAGUGUGCAAGGGUACUUUGUUGUUGAUGUGCCGGAUUAUGAGCCAGGAGCAGUGUAUUCGGAGAAUCAGAUAAGGAAGGCGAGGGAUAGUUUUAAGCCGAUUGAGAUGCUGUCUUUUGUAAAGCAGUUGGCUCUGUCAACACACGGUGAUGAUCAGAAGAGCCUCAGCUUUAAUAAGAGCAAGGCUACUGCCUUUUCUUUUCGCAAGGCUGUUUUUGAAGAGUAUGAUGAAACGUACGCUCAGGCAUUUGGUGCACAUCCAGGACGCCCUUCUCGUAGUCUAGUUCCAGCUCCAACUCGAGCUGCUUUGAGUGGUCCUUUGGUGAUUGCUGAGGUUCUGGGAGGGCAGAAGAGUGCCACAAAACCGAUGAAAGUCAAGGACCAUUCAAAGAGAGACAAAUACCUAUUUAAGCGGAGAGAUGAACCUGGGAACUCGAAAACCCAUCAAACUAGCCAGGGCCAAGCUAGUUCCUCAGCCCCAUCUGCCGUCUUGGAGGGGUCAAUAGCAGUAGAAGAUGAGAAUUAUAUGUUACAAAAGAGGGCUCCAGAUGUAUCUGGAAAAGAAGCUGCAAUCAUUGAUCAGGCGACAAAUAGCUCUCUCAUCCCCCAAGUUGUUACUGUUGAUGCAAAGCCAUCUCUUGCAAAGGGAAGGGGGGCUCUACAGGAAGUGAAAGAGGGAGAUGGAGAUGUAGGUCCUACAGCCACAGGAUAUGUAGAUUUAUUGGGGGAUGGGACCAAGCAACGUACAAUAGAUGGUACAUCACAACCUUUAAAGCAGGAAGGUGAGGGUGUAUUAGAGUUUAAAUACGAAGAGAGUGAAAAAUUGUCUGGAUCAUAUGAAAAAUUUCAACAACCUUCGAGUUCUUUGAAAAAAGUGGAAGUAGGCUAUGAACGUGGUGUUGGAGAUCCUUUGCCAAUUGAGGCAAAGAGUUUAGGUGGGAAGAAAGCAGCUGGUGGAGUGAAAAAACCAAAGGUUCUUAAACGGACUGCAGAGGACUUGAACAUUAAUGACUGUAUGAUGGGGGAUAAAAAGAAAAAGAAAAGGAAGAAACAGUUAGAUGCGGAAGCUAGCGUCAGAAAUCAACAGAAGCCUUUGACUUCUGGAAAGGUACUGCCCUCAGGGAGUAAAGCAGCAGGAAAUGCCAAUCAUGUAGGUUUGGCUGCAAGAGAGGAUACCCAGGUUGAACAUAAGAAGGAUGUCACUUCCAGUAAUAACUUGUCUGAAUCUGUUGGAAAAUUACCAUUUCGUGGCCUGGAAAAUGUGCAGCUUGAUCUACCACAACUGGUAAGCGAUUUGCAAGCCCUUGCCCUUGAUCCUUUUCACGGUAUUGAGACAAACAGCCCUGCAACUGUUCAGCAGUUCUUUCUGCACUUCAGGUCCCUUGUCUACCAGAAAAGUUUGGUUCUGUCACCACCCUCAGAGACUGAACCUGUUGAAGUUCGCUCCUCUAAAUCUUCAUCUGGUGUGAAAGCCUCUGAUAUAUCUCCUACUGAGCAAGUUAGAGAUUUAUCGUCCUCAAAGGCAGCAAAACCCGUGUUCAGAUCCGACGAUCCUACCAUAGCUGGGCGGAAACGUGCUCCAUCUGACCGUCAAGGAGAUAUUGCAGCUAAGAGGUACAAGAAAAUUACUGAUAUAAGAACAUUGGCUGCAGAAAAGAAGGCUAUUCAGAGACCUCCUAUAGACUCCAAGCGUAUAGAGGCGAAAGAAUCAGCAACACCGGUUCUGCGGAAGUCACUCAAGCCAGGUUUUGCAAAGAAAACGGACCCUGCAUCAAAGGCAGUUGAGCCUACAAUGCUGGUGUUGAAGUUCCCUCCCAAAAUCUCUCUCCCAUCACUUGCAGAACUGAAGGCAAAGUUUGCCCGAUUUGGGCCUAUGGAUCAGUCCGGUCUCCGUGUCUUUUGGAAGUCCUCGACAUGCCGGGUUGUCUUUCUGUACAAAUCUGAUGCACAAGCAGCAUUUAAGUUUGCUACUGCAAACAGCUCCCUUUUCGGCAACUUUAGUGUGAGGUGUCAAAUUCGAGAAGUGGGCGGUCCUGAAGCUCCAGAGUUAGGCAAGGGUGACAAUCCCAGGGAGACGCCACGGGCCAAGGAUCCAUCGGUUAUGCAAUCACCAGCAUUGGCCUCGGCACUCAGACAGCAGCAGCAGCAGCAGGCUCAACAGAGUGGAGUGCAGCUGAAGUCGAUUCUGAAGAAGUAUUCAGGCGAGGAGUCGGCAGGAGGGCAGGUAACCGGUGGGAAUGGAAAUAGUAAAGGGACUGCACGUGUAAAAUUCAUGUUGGGUGGGGAAGAAACUAGUAGGACUACUACUUCUGAUCAAUUCAUGAUGCCUGGUAAUAGAAAUAACAACUUCAACAAGAACAACAGUGCUAGUUUUGUGGACGUCGACGGUGCACCGUCUUCUACUACUUCCACUGCUACGGAUUUUAAUACAACUAGGAACUUUCAAAAGGUUAAUCCUCCUCCAACUUUUUCAUCACCAUUGCCUCCUCUCCUCCCUAAUCCUCCCGGCCCACCUCCACAAUAUGCCAAACCCCCACCCCAUAGCAAUUUUCCGCAGCAUUCCGAAAUGGCACCACCCAGAAAUACUAGUCACAAUCUUAACGCACCACCCACAAGCACGGUCGAUAUUUCGCAGCAGAUGCUUAGCUUGUUGACUAGGUGCAGCGACGUUGUAUCCAACGUGAAGGGCUUGCUCGGCUAUGUGCCUUACCAUCCUCUCUGAUGAAGCCGCCUCGAAAAUUUAUUACGCCAUAAGGCCUCGUCAUCAACAAGAUUCGAACACAGCAUUUCACGGCUCGAAAGCUUUGCUUGCUUCCGAGUUUUAAAGGACAUGUGGACGUGGGGCGAAAGUUGUUAAGAGGGAGAGAUGCCAAACCAAAGAGAGUUGUAGACUCGGCGGUGGGUUUGACUUUUGGCCCGUUAGCCAGAAUACAGCACAACGGGAGAGCUUUGUGUCCGAAUGUCGUAUAAGGCAUUCGGAGACCUUUCCUUUUGGACAUAACUCGUCGUCAACGUUUAUAAUGGGGCGGACAAAAGUAGGAAAUUGAAGAGGACAUAGUGGAUGGGAUGCUAUUUAUUUUGGAACUCUUCAGAUGUUACCCAUUGAUGGAAACAAUGAUUGUUAAGGUGGA